This 57-nucleotide microRNA precursor is filed under the name Scyliorhinus torazame (cloudy catshark). Its description in RNAcentral is "Sto-Mir-33-P1_pre stem-loop". The record is from RNAcentral. Lineage: Eukaryota; Metazoa; Chordata; Chondrichthyes; Carcharhiniformes; Scyliorhinidae.
GUGCAUUGUAGUUGCAUUGCAUGUGUCCUUGAUGUGCAAUGCACCUGCAAUGUAAUA